UUCGAUAGUCGACUUGCGAGUUCCUAACGGGCACGUGUUUUAUUUAAUGUCGUUCUCUACAUUUAUAACAUUUAUGGACGUGCUUUGCUACGUUUAUUAAAAAUGAAGCUAAAGUGUUUUUUCACACGCUUUUUAAAUUUUUUAAACGAUGGAGGAAAUGAAUGUAGUCCCGGUGGAAUUCCAUGACAAGGAAUUGCUAUAAAAUAGCAGGAAUAUUGGUAAUUUGCUGAAUAAAAAUUUUCUUGGAAAAGACCAACUCUUGUUCCAAAAUGGGCUGAGUAAAAGUCGGAACUGUUGCUUACCGUAGGGACAUAAAAAAUUUGUUUAACACAUCUCAAAUGCGCUUGUCGUGGGAAGGCAGGGAAUGCUUGGACGAUUACACUGUUGGGCCUGAAUUAAUAAUAUGCAAAAUAAAUAAAAUAAUAUGGAUGGAUCUGGAAGGGAUGAUGUAAAAAUUUUUCUCAAAAUCGGACGAGUUUCAGGUAGUUGAUUGAAGAUGGCACACGAACAUGAUUUAAUCUUGGCAUUCAAAUCGUUGGAUCGUAGAAAUGCAAAGUGGAAAUGUGUUGGUGUUGGACUUGAUGUAUAUAACACAAGACGAUAUAAUCAACACUUUCAUGGACGUGUUUCCCGCUAUAACAAACUUAAAUUAUUUAAUAUAUAAUGUUAUAAAUAUUUUCAUAUUCUUCGAUUGUAAAAAAAUGUACGCAAGAUUAUUCCAAAGAAAUAUUUAACCAAAUAAACAUAUUGGCUUGCGAAUAAAAUGUUUCAUUUCCUUGUUAUGAAUAUGCAGGCAUGUCACAGGAACGAAUUCCAAACGAAAGUGCCUCAAUUCCGUAUUUAGCUUCUGCCAUUUUGGUUUCAAACCAUUUUGGAUUUUGCAAGUGAAAUUGUAUUUUUUGUAUCUUUUUAUUUAAAAUGAUUAGCAAAUGUAAAUUGUUUCCCAAUUGUAAACUAAGUAUUGCUGCAUCAUUUUUUCUUGAAAAUCGCUUUUUUUCUUCAAAAAUUAUUUAUUUGUUAAAACUAAGCAAUCUGGCCUUACGAAUGAUAAAUUAAGCAAAGAUAGAUUGAUAUCGUCGUAUUUGAGUGGAAGAUCUCAGUUUGUUGUGCACAGGGGUGUUCAGUCUGAUGUUUGUGCUGUGCGGUGUGGUGUCCCACAAGGAUCUGUGCUUGGCCCUCUGCUUUUAUUAUGUUCAUUAACGACGUUGUGGGGUCUGUGUCUAAUUCCAGUUGUGAAGUUUUUAUGUAUGCGGAUGACAUUCAUGUCUUCUUUAGAAGUGCAGAUCUCUUUGAGUUGGAAAAUGUGGCAAACACUACUUUGGGAUUGCUUUCUAUGUGGAUCUCCUCUAAUGGUUUGUCUGUAAAUUGGAAUAAAACUGAAGCUGUUCUGUUUAAUAGUCCUCGUUAUGUUCCUACGCCAUGCAUCCGUGUUGGCUCCUUUGUGGUUAAUGUUGUGGAUGAGAUGAGAUGUUUAGGUGUAGUCAUUGACACCAAGCUAAAUUUUUCAGCGCAUGUUGAUUCUUUGCUGUCUCGUGUGCGUUUUCAGAUGCGGAGGCUAUUUAGUCUUCCAGCUCAUUUGCCUCUUAGUGUUAGGAUGAUGGCUGCCAGAUCUUUAUUAAUGUCUCAUGUCAACUAUUGUUUGGAAGUCAUCUCUGGGGCGAAUGCUUGCCUAAUUCUGCGCGUACGCAAACUUGUUAACUCUAUUGUUAGAUAUGUGUUUGGGUUGCGCCGUAGUGAUCGUGUAACACAGUAUGUUAUUAAGUUUCUUGGACUGUCCUUUGACAGAUAUGUUGAAUAUCGCCUGCUUUUGUGUCAUUACAGAAUUAUGAGGAAUGUUAAUUCUCCUUUAUAUAAUAAGUUUGUGUUUUGUAGAUCAUCUCGAAAUCCGCAAUUGCUGUUUCCAAGAUUUUCGUCUGUAGUUGGUGAGAAGCCGUUUGUUGUGAGAGUUGCGAGAUUGUGGAAUCAGCUCCCUCUGACCCUGAGUAAUAUUACCUGUUGUUUUGAUAUGUUUUGAAUAUUUGUCUGUUCAUUGGGUUUCUGGUUGUGGGUUAUUUUUUGUUAUUUCUUUUUAGUUAUUGGCUGGGGGCCAUUUUUAUGGUUGUUUAUUUUCCAUGUAGUACAUAAUUUUAUUGUUUUUUUUUUCUCUUUUUAAGAAUUUUUUUCCUAUACUUGUAGUAACUACAUUCGCUCGGUUGGAAACGAGUGAUGAUUAGCGCUUAAGUGUAUUGAUGCCUCUUGCCUUUUUCCUCUCUACCUUGCUAAACUGUUGUUCAGCUUGGUAGAGGAGUUGUGUCUGAGGGUCUAAAUUUAA
This is a long non-coding RNA of Musca domestica (house fly), 2311 nucleotides long. RefSeq lists it as uncharacterized. The transcript has 6 exons. Lineage: Eukaryota; Metazoa; Arthropoda; Insecta; Diptera; Muscidae. The record is from RefSeq and is a predicted model, not a curated record.